GCUCAGGAUGAACGCUAGCGGCAGGCCUAAUACAUGCAAGUCGGACGGGAUCCAUCGGAGAGCUUGCUCGAAGAUGGUGAGAGUGGCGCACGGGUGCGUAACGCGUGAGCAACCUACCUCUAUCAGGGGGAUAGCCUCUCGAAAGAGAGAUUAACACCGCAUAAYAUMAWYAKCUSGCAUSKKCRKWUKAUUAAAUAUUUAUAGGAUAGAGAUGGGCUCGCGUGACAUUAGCUAGUUGGUAGGGUAACGGCUUACCAAGGCGACGAUGUCUAGGGGCUCUGAGAGGAGAAUCCCCCACACUGGUACUGAGACACGGACCAGACUCCUACGGGAGGCAGCAGUAAGGAAUAUUGGUCAAUGGGCGGAAGCCUGAACCAGCCAUGCCGCGUGCAGGAUGACUGCCCUAUGGGUUGUAAACUGCUUUUGUCCAGGAAUAAACCUARAUACGUGUAUYUAGCUGAAUGUACUGGAAGAAUAAGGAUCGGCUAACUCCGUGCCAGCAGCCGCGGUAAUACGGAGGAUCCGAGCGUUAUCCGGAUUUAUUGGGUUUAAAGGGUGCGUAGGCGGCCUAUUAAGUCAGGGGUGAAAUACGGUGGCUCAACCAUCGCAGUGCCUUUGAUACUGAUGGGCUUGAAUCCAUUUGAAGUGGGCGGAAUAAGACAAGUAGCGGUGAAAUGCAUAGAUAUGUCUUAGAACUCCGAUUGCGAAGGCAGCUCACUAAGCUGGUAUGACG
RNAcentral lists this ribosomal RNA (733 nucleotides) under Sphingobacterium multivorum. RNAcentral's name for it is "partial 16S ribosomal RNA". It matches the Rfam family "Bacterial small subunit ribosomal RNA", at positions 22 to 745 of the family's 1533-position model. Lineage: Bacteria; Pseudomonadati; Bacteroidota; Sphingobacteriia; Sphingobacteriales; Sphingobacteriaceae. The record is from RNAcentral.